Molecule: ribosomal RNA, 253 nt
Filed under: uncultured bacterium
Lineage: Bacteria
Description: partial 16S ribosomal RNA
Rfam family: Bacterial small subunit ribosomal RNA
Source: RNAcentral
UACGGGGGAGGCAAGCGUUGUCCGGAAUCACUAGGCGUAAAGGGCAAGUAGGCGGAUUGAUAAGUUACGGGUUAAAUUUAGAGGCUCAACCUUUAACCAGCUUGUGAUACUGUCAAUCUAGAGUCAGGCAGGGGAAGACGGAAUUCCCGGUGUAGCGGUGGAAUGCGCAGAUAUCGGGAAGAACACUCAUGGCGAAGGCAGUCUUCUGGGCCAUGACUGACGCUCAAUUGCGAAGGUGUGGGUAUCAAACAGG